This 460-nucleotide ribosomal RNA is filed under the name uncultured bacterium. RNAcentral describes it as "partial 16S ribosomal RNA". It matches the Rfam family "Bacterial small subunit ribosomal RNA", at positions 338 to 795 of the family's 1533-position model. The record is from RNAcentral.
CCUACGGGAGGCAGCAGUGAGGAAUAUUGGUCAAUGGGCGGGAGCCUGAACCAGCCAAGUCGCGUGAGUGAAGACGGUCCUAUGGAUUGUAAACCUCUUUAGGCGGGGAGCAAUGCCGGGCACGCGUGCCCGGAGGGAGAGUACCCGCAGAAUAAGCAACGGCUAACUACGUGCCAGCAGCCGCGGUAAUACGGAGGAAGCGGGCGUUAUCCGGAUUUAUUGGGUGUAAAGGGUGCGUAGGCGGGUUUUUAAGUCAGCGGUAAAAUGUCCGGGCUCAACCCGGGACGGCCGUUGAAACUGGGGGUCUUGAGUGGGCGAGAAGUAUGCGGAAUGCGGGGUGUAGCGGUGAAAUGCGUAGAUAUUAGGAGGAACACCAGUGGCGAAGGCGGCUUACUGGACUGUAACUGACGUUGAGGCUCGAAAGCGUGGGGAGCAAACAGGAUUAGAUACCCGAGUAGUC